CCUGAGUCCGGCGUCGGUGGGUUAUUCACUUACUUGAAACAUCUGAACCCUAUCCCAUCGGCACACACUUGACCGUUAU
Molecule: small nucleolar RNA, 79 nt
Filed under: Caenorhabditis japonica
Lineage: Eukaryota; Metazoa; Nematoda; Chromadorea; Rhabditida; Rhabditidae
Description: snoRNA CJA49035
Source: RNAcentral